RNAcentral lists this ribosomal RNA (472 nucleotides) under uncultured bacterium. Its description in RNAcentral is "partial 16S ribosomal RNA". It matches the Rfam family "Bacterial small subunit ribosomal RNA", at positions 28 to 507 of the family's 1533-position model. The record is from RNAcentral.
GACGAACGCUGGCGGCGUGCUUAACACAUGCAAGUCGAACGCUGAAGCUUGGUGCUUGCACUGGGUGGAUGAGUGGCGAACGGGUGAGUAAUACGUGAGUAACCUGCCCUUGACUCUGGGAUAAGCCUGGGAAACUGGGUCUAAUACUGGAUAUGACAUGCCACUGCAUGGUGGUGUGUGGAAAGGGUUUUACUGGUUUUGGAUGGGCUCACGGCCUAUCAGCUUGUUGGUGGGGUAAUGGCCUACCAAGGCGACGACGGGUAGCCGGCCUGAGAGGGUGACCGGCCACACUGGGACUGAGAAACGGCCCAGACUCCUACGGGAGGCAGCAGUGGGGAAUAUUGCACAAUGGGCGGAAGCCUGAUGCAGCGACGCCGCGUGAGGGAUGACGGCCUUCGGGUUGUAAACCUCUUUCAGCACGGAAGAAGCGAGAGUGACGGUACGUGCAGAAGAAGCGCCGGCUAACUACGCG